Molecule: small nuclear RNA, 191 nt
Organism: Echinops telfairi (small Madagascar hedgehog)
Lineage: Eukaryota; Metazoa; Chordata; Mammalia; Afrosoricida; Tenrecidae
Product: U2 spliceosomal RNA
Exons: 1
Source: RefSeq, a predicted model, not a curated record
AUCACUUCUUGGUCUUGGGGCUAAGAUCAAGUAUAGUAUCUGUUCUCAUCAGUCUACCAUCUGAUAUGCCCUCUAUCAGAGGACAAUAUAUUAAAUGUAUUUUUGUAAGUAGGAGGUAGACUAGCAGCUUGCUCCAUUCACUCUAUGCAUCAAGCUGGUAUUGCAGUAUCUCCAGGAAGGGUGCACCCCCU